AUUGAACGCUGGCGGCAUGCUUUACACAUGCAAGUCGAGCGGCAGCGCGGGGGCAACCCUGGCGGCGAGCGGCGAACGGGUGAGUAAUGCAUCGGAACGCACCCUGGAGUGGGGGAUAACGCCGCGAAAGCGGCGCUAAUACCGCAUAUGCUCUGAGGAGGAAAGCAGGGGGACCGCAAGGCCUUGCGCUCUUUGAGCGGCCGAUGUCAGAUUAGCUAGUUGGUGAGGUAACGGCUUACCAAGGCGACGAUCUGUAGCGGGUCUGAGAGGAUGAUCCGCCACACUGGAACUGAGACACGGUCCAGACUCCUACGGGAGGCAGCAGUGGGGAAUUUUGGACAAUGGGCGCAAGCCUGAUCCAGCCAUGCCGCGUGAGUGAAGAAGGCCUCGGUUGUAAG
Molecule: ribosomal RNA, 398 nt
Filed under: uncultured bacterium
Lineage: Bacteria
Description: bacterial SSU rRNA
Rfam family: Bacterial small subunit ribosomal RNA
Source: RNAcentral